Molecule: long non-coding RNA, 1162 nt
Organism: Oreochromis niloticus (Nile tilapia)
Lineage: Eukaryota; Metazoa; Chordata; Actinopteri; Cichliformes; Cichlidae
Exons: 6
Source: RefSeq, a predicted model, not a curated record
GUAAAUGUUUCUUCUCCAAUUGGAUGAUGAUAAGACUGUGACACGGGAUGCCACCUUUAGUCUUGUGAUGAAGCAAAGCUCAGGAAGAAGUGUGAUUAAAUGGUACCCACAUGUGUGCUGCUGAGAAGGAUGUACAGGGGCACCUGCAGCCAAAUCCAAGCCUCCUCAGCAGCUUCAGGUCUGUCAGCGUGCUGAGGUCACAGAAACAAGAAAAGCAGCUUCAGACUUCAGAGUGUUGUUUACAGUUUUCUGUCAUCAUGAUCUCCCCUGAAGUUUAUCACUAUUAGGCAAGCAAGCAGAGCAGCAGUUUGUGCUCACAGAUGGUGACGGUGUGGAGAGACGGUGGUGUUUCCUCAGAAGAACUAGCAGAGUCACAAAGGGCACGAGUCCAUCUCACCACCUUGACUUGCUGACUGAUGCUCAUCUGCACUGCACAGAGGAAAUAAACUGACCGAGGAGUGUUUCUGGGUGAGGGAGAGAGGAGUCAUCAUCCAGGUAAAGUGACGUGGAUCAGUGGAUACACUUGUCUCCCCUUUAAAGGAGACACUCUUAGAGAGAGACGAUCUGAGUCAUCCUUAAAUAUGGGCAGGAUAUCAAUCUUGGACUGUCUAACCUGCCGGAGCAGCACUGAAUAACCACCACACAUGAGCAUGUUCCUGCAACAUUCAGCAGCUUUGCUUUUGCUGGAGAGGAAACUACACCAGUGUACUGGGAUGUUUCACCAACACGUGCCAGAUGCUGUUCCUUCAUGGUGACAUCACCAGAGACGGCCCCGCCCACCUCAGGACCUCGCCAUUGAUCAUGAUGAUUAUAAUAAUGACAGCGAGCGGAACUAAGACUGUAAAAAUCCACGACCAGAAUGUUUAGAUGCUUUCUAAUUAUUCAUGAAUACUGAGAGCCUCUUUCUGUGUUUUGUCUGUUUUGGGUUUUUUUACCUCAUUUGUUACUAACAAAGUUCACCAAACUCAGUUUACAUUCUGUAUGUUUCCAUCUUUACCAGCCACACUCUAACUGCAAUUAAGAAAAUAAUCCUUAGAAAUCGUCGUUUUUCUCUUUUGUAAUUGAUGAUAAUUCAGUGAAUAUACUGCGCUGCUUCCUUUUGUUUCAUCUCACAUUGCUUUAAGUUUUUCAGUGUCCAGUUAUUUUUUACUGCUGUUUGAAU